Molecule: ribosomal RNA, 253 nt
Filed under: uncultured bacterium
Lineage: Bacteria
Description: partial 16S ribosomal RNA
Rfam family: Archaeal small subunit ribosomal RNA
Source: RNAcentral
UACCAGCACCCCGAGUGGUCGGGACGAUUAUUGGGCCUAAAGCAUCCGUAGCCGGUCCUACAAGUCUUCCGUUAAAUCCAACUGCUUAACAGAUGGGCUGCGGAGGAUACUAUAAGACUAGGAGGCAGGAGAGGCAAGCGGUACUCAGUGGGUAGGGGUAAAAUCCGUUGAUCCAUUGAAGACCACCAGUGGCGAAGGCGGCUUGCCAGAAUGCGCUCGACGGUGAGGGAUGAAAGCUGGGGGAGCAAACCGG